GAGCCCUUAUCACUGAGCGGCCGCUCCUCCAGGACUGUGAUGCUGCUCCUGGGAAACUCAAUGAAGUCCCUCCCGCAGCCGUUCUGCAGGAGGUUGGCAAACAGGUCGCAACGUGGGGUCGACUGUGCCACCACCUCUGCAGAGCACCAUGCACAGAGGGGGCUGACGGCCAGGCACUGCUUGCAGGAGGUCACCCCUCGGGUAGCGCAGAUGUUACUCCCCCAGCUGCCAGCAGCGCAGAGCACCAGGAUGCUGAAAGCGACGCGGAGUUCCUCCAUCUCCUCCUCCGAACCCCGGCUACAGGGGUGUGGGACGGCCCCGCCGUGCGACUUGGAGAUGGUUUUGAG
Molecule: long non-coding RNA, 347 nt
Filed under: Gallus gallus (chicken)
Lineage: Eukaryota; Metazoa; Chordata; Aves; Galliformes; Phasianidae
Source: RNAcentral